RNAcentral lists this ribosomal RNA (379 nucleotides) under uncultured eukaryote. RNAcentral's name for it is "partial 18S ribosomal RNA". It matches the Rfam family "Eukaryotic small subunit ribosomal RNA", at positions 592 to 976 of the family's 1831-position model. The record is from RNAcentral.
CAAUAGCGUAUAUUUAAGUUGUUGCAGUUAAAAAGCUCGUAGUUGGAUUUCGGAUGGGACUUGCCGGUCCGUCGUUUCGAUGUGCACUGGCCAGUCCUAUCUUGUUGUCGGGGACUAGCUCCUGGGCUUCACUGUCCGGGACUAGGAGCUGACGAGGUUACUUUGAGUAAAUUAGAGUGUUCAAAGCAAGCCUACGCUCUGAAUACAUUAGCAUGGAAUAACACGAUAGGACUCUGGCUUAUCUUGUUGGUCUGUGAGACCAGAGUAAUGAUUAAGAGGGACAGUCGGGGGCAUUCGUAUUUCAUUGUCAGAGGUGAAAUUCUUGGAUUUAUGGAAGACGAACAUCUGCGAAAGCAUUUGCCAAGGAUGUUUUCAUUGA